This 274-nucleotide long non-coding RNA is filed under the name Gossypium barbadense (sea-island cotton). Its description in RNAcentral is "long non-coding RNA (GBAR_LNC012159)". The record is from RNAcentral. Lineage: Eukaryota; Viridiplantae; Streptophyta; Magnoliopsida; Malvales; Malvaceae.
UGAAAUGCGCGAAAAAUUACGGGGCAAAAUUACAAAGCUAAAAGAAAUUAACAGGAUUUAAUUAAAACAUGGUGAAAAAGCGGAGGGACUCGUCGCAUAAAUAUCCCAUUUACAAAGAAAACACGUCGAUCUUGGCUCAAGCUGGUUGAAAAAAUAAAAAGUCCCAUUUUUCGGGUUUUUCGGGUCCCCGAGCGUAAAGACGUCGUUUUUCAUCGGAAACGACGAAUCUGGGCCACCCUCGGUGGUGCAAAACGCAAGAAAAGGUGAGUUUUUG